CUCCGGUUGAUCCUGCCAGACCCGACUGCUAUCAGAAUGAGAUUAAGCCAUGCGAGUCAACGUAGCAAUACGUGGCACACGGCUCAGUAACACGUAGUCAACAUAACCAGAGGACGUGGAUAAACUCGGGAAACUGAGGCUAAACCGCGAUAGACCAAGAUACCUGGAAUGGUUUUUGAUCAAAAUCUAUAUGGCCUUUGGAUUGGACUGCGACCGAUCAGGCUGUUGGUGAGGUAAUGGCCCACCAAACCAGUAACCGGUACGGGCUCUGAGAGGAGGAGCCCGGAGAUGGGUACUGAGACAAGGACCCAGGCCCUAUGGGGCGCAGCAGGCGCGAAACCUCUGCAAUAGGCGAAAGCCUGACAGGGUUAUUCUGAGUGACUUUCGCUAAGAAAGUCUUUUGACAUCUCUAAAAAUGGUGUAGAAUAAGGGGUGGGCAAGUCUGGUGCCAGCAGCCGCGGUAAU
This 465-nucleotide ribosomal RNA is filed under the name uncultured crenarchaeote. Its description in RNAcentral is "bacterial SSU rRNA". It matches the Rfam family "Archaeal small subunit ribosomal RNA", at positions 1 to 474 of the family's 1478-position model. The record is from RNAcentral. Lineage: Archaea; Thermoproteati; Thermoproteota.